Molecule: transfer RNA, 72 nt
Filed under: Heterocephalus glaber (naked mole-rat)
Lineage: Eukaryota; Metazoa; Chordata; Mammalia; Rodentia; Bathyergidae
Rfam family: tRNA
About the family: Transfer RNA (tRNA) molecules are approximately 80 nucleotides in length. Their secondary structure includes four short double-helical elements and three loops (D, anti-codon, and T loops). Further hydrogen bonds mediate the characteristic L-shaped molecular structure. tRNAs have two regions of fundamental functional importance: the anti-codon, which is responsible for specific mRNA codon recognition, and the 3' end, to which the tRNAs corresponding amino acid is attached (by aminoacyl-tRNA synthetases). tRNAs cope with the degeneracy of the genetic code in two manners: having more than one tRNA (with a specific anti-codon) for a particular amino acid; and 'wobble' base-pairing, i.e. permitting non-standard base-pairing at the 3rd anti-codon position.
Source: Rfam by way of RNAcentral
AGGGGUGGAGCUUAGUGCUGGAGCACAUGCUUAACAUGCAUGAGGUCCUGGGUUUAAUGCCCAGCACCUCAA